This 494-nucleotide ribosomal RNA is filed under the name uncultured bacterium. Its description in RNAcentral is "partial 16S ribosomal RNA". It matches the Rfam family "Bacterial small subunit ribosomal RNA", at positions 28 to 507 of the family's 1533-position model. The record is from RNAcentral.
GACGAACGCUGGCGGCGCGCUUAACACAUGCAAGUCGAACGGAAAGGCCUGCUUUCCCUUGUGGAUUGCGGGUACUCGAGUGGCGAACGGGUGAGUAACACGUGAGUGAUCUGCCCCCAACUUGGGUAUAAGCCUGGGAAACUGGGUCUAAUUCCCGAUAGGACUGCAGGGUGGUGCCUGUGGUGGAAAACGAUUUUCUAGUGGUUGGGGAUGAGCUCGCGGCCUAUCAGCUUGUUGGUGGGGUAAUGGCCUACCAAGGCGGCGACGGGUAGCCGGCCGGGGAGGGUGGACGGCCGCAUUGGGACUGGGCUCCGGCCCAGACUCCUACGGGAGGCAGCAGUGGGGAAUAUUGCACAAUGGGCGGAAGCCUGAUGCAGCGACGCCGCGUGGGGGAUGACGGCCUUCGGGUUGUAAACUCCUUUCGACCGCGAGGAAGCCACCUGGUUGGAAGGGUGUUGACGGUAGUGGUAGAAGAAGCACCGGCUAACUACGUG